RNAcentral lists this transfer RNA (66 nucleotides) under Apostichopus californicus. RNAcentral describes it as "tRNA-Glu". The record is from RNAcentral. Lineage: Eukaryota; Metazoa; Echinodermata; Holothuroidea; Aspidochirotida; Stichopodidae.
GCUUUUGUAGUUUCGGAAAAACGAGCUUUUCAAGCCCUAGACCCAAGUUGGACCCUUGGUAAAAGC